Acanthosepion pharaonis is the source of this 113-nucleotide non-coding RNA. The record is from the annotation of a GenBank genome assembly. Lineage: Eukaryota; Metazoa; Mollusca; Cephalopoda; Sepiida; Sepiidae.
UUACGGCCAUGUCACGUUGAAACACCGAUUCUCGUGCGAUCAUCUAAGUUAAGCAACAUUGAGCCUGGUCAGUACCUAGCCGGGUGACCGCUUGGUAAUACCAGGUGCUGUAA